This 468-nucleotide ribosomal RNA is filed under the name uncultured bacterium. Its description in RNAcentral is "partial 16S ribosomal RNA". It matches the Rfam family "Bacterial small subunit ribosomal RNA", at positions 28 to 507 of the family's 1533-position model. The record is from RNAcentral.
GACGAACGCUGGCGGCGUGCUUAACACAUGCAAGUCGAACGGAAAGGCCCUGCUUUUUUGGUGUGCUCGAGUGGCGAACGGGUGAGUAACACGUGAGUAACCUGCCCUUGACUUUGGGAUAACUUCAGGAAACUGGGGCUAAUACCGGAUAGGAGCUCCUGCUGCAUGGUGGGGGUUGGAAAGUUUCGGCGGUUGGGGAUGGACUCGCGGCUUAUCAGCUUGUUGGUGGGGUAGUGGCUUACCAAGGCUUUGACGGGUAGCCGGCCUGAGAGGGUGACCGGCCACAUUGGGACUGAGAUACGGCCCAGACUCCUACGGGAGGCAGCAGUGGGGAAUAUUGCACAAUGGGCGGAGGCCUGAUGCAGCAACGCCGCGUGCGGGAUGACGGCCUUCGGGUUGUAAACCGCUUUCGCCUGUGACGAAGCGUGAGUGACGGUAAUGGGUAAAGAAGCACCGGCUAACUACGUG